Sinocyclocheilus rhinocerous is the source of this 240-nucleotide long non-coding RNA. RefSeq lists it as uncharacterized. The transcript has 4 exons. The record is from RefSeq and is a predicted model, not a curated record. Lineage: Eukaryota; Metazoa; Chordata; Actinopteri; Cypriniformes; Cyprinidae.
AUGCACAUUUCCUUUUCCAGUAUUUUCCUCAACAGUGUACAGGGAAUUCCUGUGGCAUCUACAUGCUGAUGUAUGCUCUCAGCACCUGUACAUCAUGCCCACUAACAUUCACAGAGGAGGAGGUGCCAUUGAUUCGCCAGUGGUGGUGCAUUCAGUUGAUGGAGAGGUUUUGCCUUGAAGGGCAUGGACAGAGAUUUGCACACUGGACAGAAGAAGCAUCCCAACUCCUUCAGGGAACAC